AGUAGCGGACGGGCGAGUAAUGCAUUCCUACGUGCCUCGAGGUGGGGGAUAGCCAAGGGAAACUUUGGGUAAUACCCCAUGUCCUCUCCGGAGAAAAGCUCAGGCGCCUUGAGAUCGGGGAAUGUCCUAUCAGGUAGUUGGCGGGGUAACGGCCCACCAAGCCGAAGACGGGUAGCCGGUGUGAGAGCACGACCGGCCGCAUCGGGACUGAGACACUGCCCGGACUCCUACGGGAGGCUGCAGCAACGAAUCUUCCGCAAUGCACGAAAGUGUGACGGAGCAAUGCCGCGUGCGGGAUGAAGCGGCUCCGCCGUGUAAACCGCUGUCAGGACCUAGGAAUAUUGACCGGGUCCAGAGGAAGGGCCGGCUAAUCUCGUGCCAGCAGCCGCGGUAAUACGAGAGGCCCGAGCGUUAUUCGGAAUCACUGGGCUUAAAGGGUGCGUAGGCGGUCAUGUAGGCGUCCUGUGAAAUCCCACGGCUCAACCGUGGAAUUGCGGGGCGAACCACACGACUUGAACCUGGUAGGGGCUGUCGGAACGAUCGGUGGAGCGGUGAAAUGCGUAGAUAUCGAUCGGAACGCCGAAGGUGAAGACGGGCAGCUGGGCCAGUGUUGACGCUGAGGCACGAAAGCGUGGGGAUCAAACAGGAUUAGAUACCCUGGUAGUCCACGCCGUAAACGAUGUGCACUAGACCGGG
RNAcentral lists this ribosomal RNA (696 nucleotides) under uncultured Phycisphaerales bacterium. Its description in RNAcentral is "bacterial SSU rRNA". It matches the Rfam family "Bacterial small subunit ribosomal RNA", at positions 94 to 825 of the family's 1533-position model. The record is from RNAcentral. Lineage: Bacteria; Pseudomonadati; Planctomycetota; Phycisphaerae; Phycisphaerales.